RNAcentral lists this ribosomal RNA (805 nucleotides) under Lysinimonas sp. RNAcentral's name for it is "bacterial SSU rRNA". It matches the Rfam family "Bacterial small subunit ribosomal RNA", at positions 48 to 865 of the family's 1533-position model. Lineage: Bacteria; Bacillati; Actinomycetota; Actinomycetes; Micrococcales; Microbacteriaceae. The record is from RNAcentral.
CUUACCAUGCAGUCGAACGGUGAAACAGGAGCUUGCUCCUGUGGAUCAGUGGCGAACGGGUGAGUAACACGUGAGCAAUCUGCCCCGAACUCUGGGAUAAGCGUUGGAAACGACGUCUAAUACCGGAUACGACGCGCGAAGGCAUCUUCUGCGCGUGGAAAGAACUUCGGUUCGGGAUGAGCUCGCGGCCUAUCAGCUAGUUGGUGAGGUAACGGCCCACCAAGGCGACGACGGGUAGCCGGCCUGAGAGGGUGACCGGCCACACUGGGACUGAGACACGGCCCAGACUCCUACGGGAGGCAGCAGUGGGGAAUAUUGCACAAUGGGCGCAAGCCUGAUGCAGCAACGCCGCGUGAGGGAUGACGGCCUUCGGGUUGUAAACCUCUUUUAGUAGGGAAGAAGCGAAAGUGACGGUACCUGCAGAAAAAGCACCGGCUAACUACGUGCCAGCAGCCGCGGUAAUACGUAGGGUGCAAGCGUUGUCCGGAAUUAUUGGGCGUAAAGAGCUCGUAGGCGGUUUGUCGCGUCUGCUGUGAAAACCCGAGGCUCAACCUCGGGCCUGCAGUGGGUACGGGCAAACUAGAGUGCGGUAGGGGAGAUUGGAAUUCCUGGUGUAGCGGUGGAAUGCGCAGAUAUCAGGAGGAACACCGAUGGCGAAGGCAGAUCUCUGGGCCGUAACUGACGCUGAGGAGCGAAAGCGUGGGGAGCGAACAGGAUUAGAUACCCUGGUAGUCCACGCCGUAAACGUUGGGCGCUAGAUGUGGGGACCAUUCCACGGGUUUCCGUGUCGCAGCUAACGCAUAGC